AACUCCGCCUUAUAGGCCAAGACG
Molecule: non-coding RNA, 24 nt
Filed under: Arabidopsis thaliana (thale cress)
Lineage: Eukaryota; Viridiplantae; Streptophyta; Magnoliopsida; Brassicales; Brassicaceae
Source: RNAcentral